Non-coding RNA from Sus scrofa (pig), 69 nucleotides. The record is from RefSeq and is marked provisional. NCBI's taxonomy places the organism in Eukaryota, Metazoa, Chordata, Mammalia, Artiodactyla, Suidae.
CUGUGCUGAGCCCUGGAGUGACGGGGGUGAAAGGGCAGAGUCCCUGUCCUCCAGGAGCUCCCCAUGUGG